Molecule: unclassified non-coding RNA, 405 nt
Filed under: soil metagenome
Description: partial contains 5.8S ribosomal RNA, internal transcribed spacer 2, and large subunit ribosomal RNA
Rfam family: 5.8S ribosomal RNA (bases 1-121)
Source: RNAcentral
GAUGAAGAACGUAGCGAAAUGCGAUAAGUAAUGUGAAUUGCAGAAUUCAGUGAAUCAUCGAAUCUUUGAACGCACCUUGCGCCCUUUGGCCAUUCCGAAGGGCAUGCCUGUUUGAGUAUCAUGAACACCUCAACUCUUUAUGGUUUUCCAUGAUGAGCUUGGACUCUGGGGGUUUUGCUGGCUCACAGUCGGCUCCUCUAAAAUGAAUCAGCUUACCAGUGUUUGGUGGGUAUCAUGGGUGUGAUAACUAUCUACGCUUGUGGUUUUUCCACCAGGUAACCUUCAGCAGUGGAGGUUCGCUGGAGCUCAUAGAUGUCUCUCCUCAGUGAGGACAGCCCUUUGAAUGUUUGAUCUCAAAUCAGGUAGGACUACCCGCUGAACUUAAGCACAUCAAUAAGCGGAGGA